Molecule: unclassified non-coding RNA, 376 nt
Filed under: soil metagenome
Description: partial contains 5.8S ribosomal RNA, internal transcribed spacer 2, and large subunit ribosomal RNA
Rfam family: 5.8S ribosomal RNA (bases 1-120)
Source: RNAcentral
GAUGAAGAACGCAGCGAAAUGCGAUAAGUAAUGUGAAUUGCAGAAUUCAGUGAAUCAUCGAAUCUUUGAACGCAUCUUGCGGUCCUUGGUAUUCUGAGGAGCAUGCCUGUUUGAGUGUCAUUAAAUUCUCAACUACACUGACUUUGAAUUGGUGUGGCUUGGAUUUGGGGGGAAAAUUGUUGUGGGCUUUUUGUAUAGUCUGCUCCCCUGAAAUUGAUUAGCGGUACCUUUGUGGAACUGUCUACAGGUGUGAUAAUUAUCUACAUCUUAGACAUCUGCUGGAAUGCUGCUUUCUAAACCUUACUUGUAUUGACAAUCUUGACCUCAAAUCAGGUAGGACUACCCGCUGAACUUAAGCAUAUCAAUAAGCGGAGGA